This is a non-coding RNA of Brassica napus (rape), 140 nucleotides long. NCBI's taxonomy places the organism in Eukaryota, Viridiplantae, Streptophyta, Magnoliopsida, Brassicales, Brassicaceae. The record is from Rfam.
GGAAUAUAAGAAACCGUCUCUUAACUUUUAACUAAAAAAACUAAGAACCGGCUCUUAAAUAUCUAAGCAGUUUUUAAGAUAUUUAAGAACCGGUUUUUAGCUUUUUUAGUUCAAAGUUAAAAGACGGUUUCUUAUAUUCU